Small nucleolar RNA from Hippoglossus stenolepis (Pacific halibut), 132 nucleotides. RefSeq annotates it as small nucleolar RNA SNORA69. The record is from RefSeq and is a predicted model, not a curated record. NCBI's taxonomy places the organism in Eukaryota, Metazoa, Chordata, Actinopteri, Pleuronectiformes, Pleuronectidae. The transcript has a single exon.
AAAGCAGGUCUGCAAUUACAGCACUUGAUUUCUUUAGAGUGCUGUCAUUAAUCCUGCUGAUAGCAACUUCCUGCUGCAGAGCGCUCACUCAUCACUGUGUGUGUGCUGAGGAAGCUCUGUAGCUGAACAUUG